CUUGUAUCCUUGUGCUUUGUAGUCUGAAAAAACUCAUAAAUUCUCAGUGUUCUCAUCAGCUUGGUCUCUUGUUAGAGAUGAGACUAAAGUUAAACAAGAUCAGCAAAUUC
Molecule: small nucleolar RNA, 110 nt
Organism: Arabis alpina (gray rockcress)
Lineage: Eukaryota; Viridiplantae; Streptophyta; Magnoliopsida; Brassicales; Brassicaceae
Rfam family: Small nucleolar RNA snoR97
Source: Rfam